UGGACCAGGCUCUGCAUAUAUGCAAAAUAAAGAUACCGGAAUUUUUGUAACGGAGGUGGGUUUGCCAAUGAAGUACAGACUUAUAAAAUAUAGUUUGGCCAUGAGGAUGGCAUCAGAGAGGAGGGGUAUUGGGAUCCUUUCAGUCAGUAAAAGGCUCCAAAUGCUGCAGAUCUGGAUUAACCAACAGAUUAAAAACUGGGUUCCCCUCAUCAACAAUUAACUCAAACAUGAGGAGAUAAUUAUCCCAAAUGAAGGUGUGAAAAACCUAUGUGAUGGGAGUCAUAGAAGGGUAAAUAAAAGGUGCAGAAAAGGCUCAGCCUCCCUUCCUGAUGAAAAGGCUCAAGGAAUAAUUUACCUGGAUUUUCAAGAGGACAAACCUUGCAUUCUGUGACUUGUCGUGGCUGAUGCAGCCAGCAAUAGCAGGAACAGCUUGGUUCUGAGAGCGCUGGGGCUCCCCUCGUCGUGCUGGAGAAGGGGUCCUGAAAUAAACCUUGGAUGGGGAUAGCCUUUGAUUUGACCUCUUCUGCAUUUAUCUGGCUGUGUGUGUUCGACUCCCAUCGCUCCCCUCAGCCUGUGAAGCUCAGACACCACCAGCACAGGAACGCAGUAUUCUCCUUUCUUCCUGUUUGGCCUCCUCUGCCCUGGAUGCAACGGGAGUAAACACAGUGCAAGGAUUUGUGUUCCAACAAAGAAGAACAAUUGCAGCAGUGUUCAAAUUCACAAGCCUAGAAGCCGUGGGAUCCCAGGAAUAGGCUUCUCCCUCUAGUGGCAGCAGAAAGCGAGAUGCAGAACUCUUGGACCAGAUUCCAACCCAUCUGUAAAAGUCCCCAGCUUUCUGACACUGUUCCUAUUGAACAACAUAAUCCAGGGAGCCUACAAAUUGUUAAUGGUUCACCUUUUCAGUGAAUCCUGAAGAUUUUGGAGAAACUUUUUCUUCACAAAGGCUUCCCGAAGAAAGAAGGGGAUGGGCUGGAGCAGCUGUGGCUGGAGACACUGGCUGGAACCAGGAGAUGGCUGAGCAUUUGUGCCAUCUCGUGCUGCUUCUGAAAUGUUUUGGUCUGCUCGAGUCCUCGUGAUGCUCCUGUGGCACCGAUGAAUCUCUAUCCUCACAUCAGAAGGCAAGGGCAGGCCGAGCUAAACAGCUGGCUGGAUUUGCAUGAAAAUGGACUGCCCUUUUUCAUUUGUUUGUUCUUGGGAAAUUACAGUAGAACCAAUGCAUUAACUCUGAGAAGGGGCAGCAGAAGGAAAGCCUGGAGCUGCUGCUCGCCCUGGAGCUGGAACAUCCUCUGAGCAGCAGCAAAACAAGAGAAAGCAAAACCACCCCUCUAAGAUGGCUGCAGACAGAAGCUUUCCUGCAGUUGUCCUUGACUCAGCCAAGGCCAGGUACGAGGGAAGAGCUCCACGGCAUGAAAGAAGUUGCCACAGGGACUUUUGGGUGACCUCCCCAAAUCCCUGUAUUUCCCUGAGGUUUGGCAAAUCUCCCAAUAUCUUUCACCAAAAUCAAGCUCUUAAUCUCAAGACACCUCUCCUACGUAAGGCUGCCUCCUGAGCUCCAUCCACAGGGCCCGUGUUUCAACACCCAGGAUUCAUUAAUAUUUCCUGCAGAGUGCUCAGGAUCCUCAGCUUCACAGAUAUCAAUAAGUCUGAUGGAUUUCUUGCUGCAUUCUCAUUCUUCUGCCCUGGUGUCUCUUAUGGGAUCAUCAUUUCUGCAUGCUUGGAUUGUUUUAUGGGAUCAGUGAAAGGCAA
This is a long non-coding RNA of Passer domesticus (house sparrow), 1746 nucleotides long. RefSeq lists it as uncharacterized. NCBI's taxonomy places the organism in Eukaryota, Metazoa, Chordata, Aves, Passeriformes, Passeridae. The transcript has 12 exons. The record is from RefSeq and is a predicted model, not a curated record.